Molecule: ribosomal RNA, 157 nt
Filed under: Garcinia staudtii
Lineage: Eukaryota; Viridiplantae; Streptophyta; Magnoliopsida; Malpighiales; Clusiaceae
Description: 5.8S ribosomal RNA
Rfam family: 5.8S ribosomal RNA
About the family: 5.8S ribosomal RNA (5.8S rRNA) is a component of the large subunit of the eukaryotic ribosome.
Source: RNAcentral
CAAAACGACUCUCGGCAACGGAUAUCUCGGCUCUCGCAUCGAUGAAGAACGUAGCGAAAUGCGAUACGUGGUGUGAAUUGCAGAAUCCCGCGAACCAUCGAGUUUUUGAACGCAAGUUGCGCCCGAAGCCUUCUGGUUGAGGGCACGUCUGCCUGGG